UGAUGUUCAUAAAGAUGUUCACAGUAUGGUGGAAAUUUUAUCUGAAGUUGAAGAUUCACAAAGAGCUGCUGAUGUAAAGGGACCUGUCAUUGUUGUGUGCAGUGAUGGAGCAGGUCGAUCUGGAACCUAUAUUGCUAUCUCAAAUCUUGUCGACCGAGUCAAAAUUGUCCAAGCAAUGGAUGCCUUCCAAUGUAUCAAGCUAAUUCGUAAUGGACGCCCGUAGUGCGUCGAAACGGCGGAUCAAUUCAAACUCUGCUACCAUUCAGAAAUUUUACCUGAAUUGGAAGGUUUAAAAAAAACUGCUGAAGUCAAAUGAGCUGUCAUUGUUGUGUGGAGAUUUCGUUAAUCCGUCCAAGUGGUUGAUGUAUUUUAAUGCAUCUAAUUGCUGCGUUGCUCUCUGGAUCAAAGAUGCAAAAAAUCACAUUGAAACAUCGCAAGCGUAACUUACGGUGAAACAGCGCACUUUGAUUGGUUCAGAAACAUUUUUCUCUAUUC
Xenia sp. Carnegie-2017 is the source of this 495-nucleotide long non-coding RNA. RefSeq lists it as uncharacterized. The record is from RefSeq and is a predicted model, not a curated record. The transcript is spliced from 5 exons. Lineage: Eukaryota; Metazoa; Cnidaria; Anthozoa; Malacalcyonacea; Xeniidae.